Long non-coding RNA from Drosophila mauritiana, 1522 nucleotides. RefSeq lists it as uncharacterized. The transcript has 4 exons. The record is from RefSeq and is a predicted model, not a curated record. Lineage: Eukaryota; Metazoa; Arthropoda; Insecta; Diptera; Drosophilidae.
AUUAUAGCUGUGCAAUUCCUUAUGACCAAUAUGUAGCUAAAAACACUAAAUAUGAAUGUUAGCUAUUAACUUUUAUUUAAAACAGAAUAAUGGGUCAUGGGAAGGUGACAACCCUGCCAUGACAUUUGCGCUAGACAAACUGUCUGUCAUCAUAGUUACAGUUAUGAUUUACCUGCCAUUAGAGGCACCUUAUAAGUAAAACGACAACGGGGAAGCAAACCAAAAAAAAAAUAUACAAAACCACCCCGUAAAACCCUAAAUGGAAACCCGAAAAAGCGGGCACGCGUCAGUUGGCAACGAUCCCUAACAAUCCGGUGGAAAAACAUAAACGAGUUGAGCGCACUAGACAAAUCCCAUAAGCAAAUUCGGUUCACGCAGUUACCCCCCGUCGCAGUGCGGAGACCCCGAGACUUCAGGCCCCGGAUCCCAACCCGUAUCCGCAUCCGCAUCCGCAUCCGAAUCCGAAUCCGAGCAGGACGAGCACUACGAAUCUGAAGGACUACCACACUGGAGUGCAACCCUGUUACUUUCCAUUCUUCAUUAUCAAGAGAACUGCUUAACAUUUAGUGUUAACUACUAGCUCAAAUGUUCAGUUUUCCAUAAAAAGCCAAGUAAACAACAUAUAGAAAUCAUUAUCCUAGACGUUCAUCUCUCAGUCAGCUUGUUUCGUAAUCGGAAUCGACAGUAAAACACCGUGCGCACACUUUCAAAAUUCCCAGUGCGAAGGGGGUUUGCUCCGUCGAUGUGGAAAUGGAUGUGGAUGAGCAUUUUUGACAUGGCAGACGAUGUCGACGAGUGCCAUCAAUCGUUUAGACCACGACGCCGGGCGUUGGCGAUGGCGAUAGCGACAAAUCUGAUAUGAGAUUGGGAGUCGGAUGAGGAUGCGGAUGCGGAUGCGGAUGAGGAUGAGGAUGAGGAUGCGGACUCAGAUGCGUCCCCGGUCGAGGAUUAUGUGCGUGUAAAGCGCACACCCACAAAAAUGCCACCCCUUCCGCCAGCUAUCCAGCUACCAAGUCCCGAGGGACACUCAAAGCAGCCGGAAGUGGUUAUGCUAAAUAAGAAAUUAAUUUAAUUUUAAUUUAUUUGUGCUUUAUCCCUUAUAUAUAUAUGUACAUUUCAUUAAAGCUAAUGGUAUAAUUAGGUAUUUACAGUGUUUAGCUAAGGCUUUCAUCUGAAAUAUUUAUUAAUUAUGUCUAGUUGACCUGUUUUUAGUUUUUUGUAUAACAAUAUUUAUUAUUUAUUAAGGAAAACAAGGGAGAAGAAAAACCUUAAUUGACUUACAACUAACUUAAAAAACUAAGACUUGAAACAAAAGAUUGUUAAUAUUGUAUUUUUUGUUGAACUUUUUGUACACCUACUUUUAUAUGUAGGUACUUAGUGUUUGUGUAAUAAGGUAAGUUCAUUAUUAAUUUUAACAGCUUGUUUUGGCAUAUUUGAAGUUUUUUGAUAUGAGUUUGAGCACAUCUACCCCAAACAGGUGACCCAUACAUUAAUAUUGGAUUAAAAAUUGUUUUAAAAAUUA